UAGGUUAGGGCACUGGAAGGCGCUGGCAAAAAGCAUGACUCUGUGGUCAACAAAACAUUGUUUUGGACUGUUGUCCUGCUGGAGUCUGCAGUUAUGACCCAGUUUUAGCUUUAAGGUGGUUCAAGGCUGAUAUCCAGAGGUCUCACCAGCAACGUCGUUGGUCCCAGCCGGCAACCCUGACCGUUGGCUGGCGCCGAGCAGCUCUCCAGAUGUGCGCCAGUCCCAGCCGGCUCUCCAGAUUUGUGGCCGCUACUGCUGCAGACCUCCACUCCUGACCAGGGAUGGUCGUAAAAAACACGUGUGUGCAGUACCUACCACUUCUUUUUACCCGCACGAGGCGGGUUCAUAUGGAGAUCUGUAUCGCGCACGAAGAGUUACACACCGAUCUUUAUUAUCCUCCUUCUCUGUGCAGUGCCAUCAAUCAGCCAGUAGAGGUCGUAAUUGCAGCAGUUAUGAGGGAUCCAUGCAGCCCUCCCUUCUUCAGAGUAACAAAUCACCGCCUGUGCAGGCGCCUAGUCGGCCGAUAGCAAGCUCAAGAUAAUGCAAGCUCAUAUAAUUACUAGCAGAGCAUGAAAACACCGGCGCGUUGAUCACAAUCCAAACAUCCAAACGUGCUCGGUGUGUGUGAAGGUCCUGUGCUGUUUUCUUUCUUUAAACCAGACGAGAGCGGCAUGAAAGAGACAGAAGGGCUCAUUUGCAUAUCACAGAAAGGAAUCUGUGUAUCAAGCCUCAAGUACCGAAUUAAAUAUGUGUGUGUGACCAUGGUGUGUGUGUAGUGUUUAGUGUAGGAGUUUUGGACCGAGUGUUCAAGUGCAAACAACAAUUAGUGAAUAAAAAACACAGGAGAAACUAA
Molecule: long non-coding RNA, 853 nt
Organism: Trichomycterus rosablanca
Lineage: Eukaryota; Metazoa; Chordata; Actinopteri; Siluriformes; Trichomycteridae
Exons: 2
Source: RefSeq, a predicted model, not a curated record